Molecule: ribosomal RNA, 376 nt
Filed under: uncultured bacterium
Lineage: Bacteria
Description: bacterial SSU rRNA
Rfam family: Bacterial small subunit ribosomal RNA
Source: RNAcentral
UACGUAGGUGGCAAGCGUUGUCCGGAUUUACUGGGCGUAAAGGGAGCGUAGGCGGAUACUUAAGUGGGAUGUGAAAUACCUGGGCUUAACUUGGGUGCUGCAUUCCAAACUGGGUGUCUAGAGUGUUGGAGAGGAAAGUGGAAUUCCUAGUGUAGCGGUGAAAUGCGUAGAGAUUAGGAAGAACACCAGUGGCGAAGGCGACUUUCUGGACAAUAACUGACGCUGAGGCUCGAAAGCGUGGGGAGCAAACAGGAUUAGAUACCCUGGUAGUCCACGCCGUAAACGAUGGGUACUAGGUGUAGGAGGUCUCGACUCCGCCUGUGCCGCAGUUAACGCAAUAAGUACCCCGCCUGGGGAGUACGGUCGCAAGAUUAAA